CCUACGGGUGGCAGCAGUAGGGAAUAUUGCUCAAUGGGGGAAACCCUGAAGCAGCAACGCCGCGUGGAGGAUGAAGGUUUUCGGAUUGUAAACUCCUUUUGUUAGAGAAGAUAAUGACGGUAUCUAACGAAUAAGCACCGGCUAACUCCGUGCAAGCAGCCGCGGUAAUACGGAGGGUGCAAGCGUUACUCGGAAUCACUGGGCGUAAAGAGCGCGUAGGCGGGUUAGCAAGUCAGAUGUGAAAUCCUAGGGCUUAACCAUAGGACUGCAUUUGAAACUGUUAGUCUAGAGUAUGGGAGAGGUAGGUGGAAUGCUUGGUGUAGGGGUAAAAUCCGUAGAGAUCAAGAAGAAUACUCAUUGCGAAGGCGACCUGCUAGAACAUAACUGACGCUGAUGCGCGAAAGCGUGGGGAGCAAACAGGAUUAGAUACCCGGGUAGUC
Molecule: ribosomal RNA, 440 nt
Filed under: uncultured bacterium
Lineage: Bacteria
Description: partial 16S ribosomal RNA
Rfam family: Bacterial small subunit ribosomal RNA
Source: RNAcentral